UUGCCACGCACGCUGGAGACUCGAGCCUGCCUUGGCUCCCCUUGCUGCUGUGGUUGGUGGUGGCAAGGAAGACGACAGUGCAGCCAGGAUGGCUUUUCUGGCUUUGCCUGCCCAGUUGCUCCGCGCGAAGAGGAGGGACUACCUGCUGCUUGCUGGAGGCUAGAGCCUGCGACACUGUGGCUCGCCUCGCUGUGGUUGGUGGCAGCGAUGGGGACUGCAGAGUGCCAAAGCGGUAGGAGAGCAGUGAUGGAGACUGCAGAGCGACAGAGCGGUAGGAGGGUGGCUGGCUGCUGUCAGGGCACAGGUAGGGCUGCAGUGGUGGCCAGGUGUUAGGAGCCUCAUAGGAUGGGCUGGUGCAUUGAGGGUAACAUCAGUGGUGGUUGUAUUGGCAUCAGCGCUAGUGGUGGCAGCAGCAGCAAGUCUGGGGCCCAGGAAGGCAGGUGGGAGCACUGUGGGACUGGCUCGCCUGUCCCAGCCUGGCCUGGGGUGGGUAGGAAGCUGUGGGCCUCUGUGGCAGGAAUGGAGGCAUAGCCAGGGGAAGGAGGAGUCUUCCCCACUUCUGCAGAAUCUGGAGGGUGCUAUCCUCCUGCGGGUGCCUGAGCCAGGCGUGAGUGGCACCAUUGUGUCAUUAUUAACAAAGUUUGUGGAGGUGACUAUUUGUGUAUCUUUUUGCUUGAUUUUUGUUAGGGUAGUCUUGAACUUUUUAAAAUUUCAUGAAUCAGGAAGGGGACAAGAUGUGUAAUAGGCCUCCUGAUUCCUUUAUCUGUUCUUUU
This 773-nucleotide long non-coding RNA is filed under the name Homo sapiens (human). RNAcentral's name for it is "non-protein coding lnc-SLC5A1-1:4". Lineage: Eukaryota; Metazoa; Chordata; Mammalia; Primates; Hominidae. The record is from RNAcentral.